This 668-nucleotide ribosomal RNA is filed under the name uncultured Bacilli bacterium. Its description in RNAcentral is "bacterial SSU rRNA". It matches the Rfam family "Bacterial small subunit ribosomal RNA", at positions 56 to 701 of the family's 1533-position model. The record is from RNAcentral. Lineage: Bacteria; Bacillati; Bacillota; Bacilli.
UGCAAGUAGAACGCACAGGAUGCACCGUAGUUACUACACCGUAUUCUGUGAGUUGCGAACGGGUGAGUAACGCGUAGGUAACCUGCCUGGUAGCGGGGGAUAACUAUUGGAAACGAUAGCUAAUACCGCAUAAGAACAUUUACUGCAUGGUAGAUGUUUAAAAGGUGCAAAUGCAUCACUACCAGAUGGACCUGCGUUGUAUUAGCUAGUAGGUGAGGUAACGGCUCACCUAGGCGACGAUACAUAGCCGACCUGAGAGGGUGAUCGGCCACACUGGGACUGAGACACGGCCCAGACUCCUACGGGAGGCAGCAGUAGGGAAUCUUCGGCAAUGGGGGGAACCCUGACCGAGCAACGCCGCGUGAGUGAAGAAGGUUUUCGGAUCGUAAAGCUCUGUUGUUAAGGAAGAACGAGUGUGAGAAUGGAAAGUUCAUACUGUGACGGUACUUAACCAGACAGGGACGGCUAACUACGUGCCAGCAGCCGCGGUAAUACGUAGGUCCCGAGCGUAGUCCGGAUUUAUUGGGCGUAAAGCGAGCGCAGGCGGUUAGAUAAGUCUGAAGUUAAAGGCAGUGGCUCAACCAUUGUAGGCUUUGGAAACUGUUUAACUUGAGUGCAGAAGGGGAGAGUGGAUUCCAUGUGUAGCGGUGAAAUGCGUAGAUAUAUGG